ACUGAGUUUAAAAGGGGACAUGCACAAGGAAGGGUUGGAGCCGUGGAUGUGAGCAGGAAAGGGAUGUACGGAGAACUGCAGGUCCUUUGAAGGAGAGAACCUGGCAGAGGGACGGCCAAGGAGCUUUCUGGGAAAAUAACCAAGGGUCAGGUCAGUAUAAAACUCAUCAGUGAAGGCCGGAUCCAGCCAGAUGCGCCGAUGCAUCCUGGAACGUGUUUCGUAGGACCCUGUCUCUCAGAAAAGUGGUGUCCGUCCAAGUCCUGCCAGUUGAGGC
This 274-nucleotide long non-coding RNA is filed under the name Mustela putorius furo (domestic ferret). RNAcentral describes it as "lncRNA (ENSMPUG00000024045.1)". The record is from RNAcentral. Lineage: Eukaryota; Metazoa; Chordata; Mammalia; Carnivora; Mustelidae.